UACGGGAGGCAGCAGUGGGGAAUAUUGCACAAUGGGCGCAAGCCUGAUGCAGCCAUGCCGCGUGUAUGAAGAAGGCCUUCGGGUUGUAAAGUACUUUCAGCGGGGAGGAAGGCGAUGUGGUUAAUAACCGCGUCGAUUGACGUUACCCGCAGAAGAAGCACCGGCUAACUCCGUGCCAGCAGCCGCGGUAAUACGGAGGGUGCAAGCGUUAAUCGGAAUUACUGGGCGUAAAGCGCACGCAGGCGGUCUGUUAAGUCAGAUGUGAAAUCCCCCGGGCUUAACCUGGGAACUGCAUUUUGAAACUGGCAGGCUUGAGUCUCGUAGAGGGGGUUAGAAUUCCAGGUGUAGCGGUGAAAUGCGUAGAGAUCUGGAGGAAUACCGGUGGCGAAGGCGGCCCCUGGGACGAAGACUGACGCUCAGGUGCGAAAGCGUGGGGAGCAAACGAGGAUUAGGAUA
Molecule: ribosomal RNA, 456 nt
Filed under: uncultured bacterium
Lineage: Bacteria
Description: bacterial SSU rRNA
Rfam family: Bacterial small subunit ribosomal RNA
Source: RNAcentral